RNAcentral lists this ribosomal RNA (1253 nucleotides) under Staphylococcus aureus. Its description in RNAcentral is "bacterial LSU rRNA". It matches the Rfam family "Bacterial large subunit ribosomal RNA", at positions 325 to 1581 of the family's 2925-position model. Lineage: Bacteria; Bacillati; Bacillota; Bacilli; Caryophanales; Staphylococcaceae. The record is from RNAcentral.
GACAUUAGACGAAUCAUCUGGAAAGAUGAAUCAAAGAAGGUAAUAAUCCUGUAGUCGAAAAUGUUGUCUCUCUUGAGUGGAUCCUGAGUACGACGGAGCACGUGAAAUUCCGUCGGAAUCUGGGAGGACCAUCUCCUAAGGCUAAAUACUCUCUAGUGACCGAUAGUGAACCAGUACCGUGAGGGAAAGGUGAAAAGCACCCCGGAAGGGGAGUGAAAUAGAACCUGAAACCGUGUGCUUACAAGUAGUCAGAGCCCGUUAAUGGGUGAUGGCGUGCCUUUUGUAGAAUGAACCGGCGAGUUACGAUUUGAUGCAAGGUUAAGCAGUAAAUGUGGAGCCGUAGCGAAAGCGAGUCUGAAUAGGGCGUUUAGUAUUUGGUCGUAGACCCGAAACCAGGUGAUCUACCCUUGGUCAGGUUGAAGUUCAGGUAACACUGAAUGGAGGACCGAACCGACUUACGUUGAAAAGUGAGCGGAUGAACUGAGGGUAGCGGAGAAAUUCCAAUCGAACCUGGAGAUAGCUGGUUCUCUCCGAAAUAGCUUUAGGGCUAGCCUCAAGUGAUGAUUAUUGGAGGUAGAGCACUGUUUGGACGAGGGGCCCCUCUCGGGUUACCGAAUUCAGACAAACUCCGAAUGCCAAUUAAUUUAACUUGGGAGUCAGAACAUGGGUGAUAAGGUCCGUGUUCGAAAGGGAAACAGCCCAGACCACCAGCUAAGGUCCCAAAAUAUAUGUUAAGUGGAAAAGGAUGUGGCGUUGCCCAGACAACUAGGAUGUUGGCUUAGAAGCAGCCAUCAUUUAAAGAGUGCGUAAUAGCUCACUAGUCGAGUGACACUGCGCCGAAAAUGUACCGGGGCUAAACAUAUUACCGAAGCUGUGGAUUGUCCUUUGGACAAUGGUAGGAGAGCGUUCUAAGGGCGUUGAAGCAUGAUCGUAAGGACAUGUGGAGCGCUUAGAAGUGAGAAUGCCGGUGUGAGUAGCGAAAGACGGGUGAGAAUCCCGUCCACCGAUUGACUAAGGUUUCCAGAGGAAGGCUCGUCCGCUCUGGGUUAGUCGGGUCCUAAGCUGAGGCCGACAGGCGUAGGCGAUGGAUAACAGGUUGAUAUUCCUGUACCACCUAUAAUCGUUUUAAUCGAUGGGGGGACGCAGUAGGAUAGGCGAAGCGUGCGAUUGGAUUGCACGUCUAAGCAGUAAGGCUGAGUAUUAGGCAAAUCCGGUACUCGUUAAGGCUGAGCUGUGAUGGGGAGAAGACAUUG